CCUACGGGAGGCUGCAGUCGGGAAUAUUGCGCAAUGGAGGAAACUCUGACGCAGUCACGCCGCGUGCAGGAAGAAGGUUUUCGGAUUGUAAACUGCUUUAUACAGGGGAGAAACAAGACGGUACCUGUACAAUAAGCUCCAGCUAACUACGUGCCAGCAGCCGCGGUAAUACGUAGGGAGCGAGCGUUAUCCGGAUUUAUUGGGUUUAACGGGUGCGUAGACGGGAAGUCAAGUUGGUUGUGAAAUCCCUCGGCUUAACUGAGGAACUGCAACUAAAACUAACUUUCUUGAGUGCUGGAGAGGAAAGUGGAAUUCGUGGUGUAGCGGUGAAAUGCGUAGAUAUUAGGAGGAACACCGGUGGCGAAGGCGACUUUCUGGACAGUAACUGACGUUGAGGCACGAAAGUGUGGGGAGCAAACAGGAUUAGAUACCCUGGUAGUC
This 441-nucleotide ribosomal RNA is filed under the name uncultured bacterium. RNAcentral describes it as "partial 16S ribosomal RNA". It matches the Rfam family "Bacterial small subunit ribosomal RNA", at positions 338 to 795 of the family's 1533-position model. The record is from RNAcentral.